RNAcentral lists this ribosomal RNA (250 nucleotides) under uncultured bacterium. RNAcentral's name for it is "partial 16S ribosomal RNA". It matches the Rfam family "Bacterial small subunit ribosomal RNA", at positions 524 to 773 of the family's 1533-position model. The record is from RNAcentral.
GACAGAGGGUGCAAACGUUGUUCGGAAUUACUGGGCGUAAAGCGCAUGUAGGCGGCCAAGCAGGUCGGAUGUGAAAUCCCUCGGCUCAACCAAGGAAGUGCAUUCGAAACCGCAUGGCUGGAGUCCCGGAGAGGGUGGUGGAAUUCUUGGUGUAGAGGUGAAAUUCGUAGAUAUCAAGAGGAACACCGGCGGCGAAGGCGGCCACCUGGACGAGGACUGACGCUGAGAUGCGAAAGCGUGGGGAGCAAAC